Molecule: long non-coding RNA, 275 nt
Organism: Ornithodoros turicata
Lineage: Eukaryota; Metazoa; Arthropoda; Arachnida; Ixodida; Argasidae
Exons: 3
Source: RefSeq, a predicted model, not a curated record
ACCUCAGCAUUUCAGUCUGGACGAACAGCAUAGAAGCCGACAGCUUGCCCUGCCUGAUGAAACUUCUUUGGAGGACGUAGGCAGCGAACAGGAACCUUGUCCCACCCAUCACGUUGCUCUUCCUGCCGAAAUGCAUUUAGAGGAGGUUUAUUCAUGUUCAAGCAGUGAAGAAGCAAGCUGUGCUGACCAAGGUGCUCAUAAUUCUCCUUCUUCAACCAGUGAUGCGGAACAGUAUUUAUCAGAUGAUGGAACCCAUGAGGAAAGCCACCCUUUUG